Molecule: long non-coding RNA, 234 nt
Filed under: Gossypium raimondii (Peruvian cotton)
Lineage: Eukaryota; Viridiplantae; Streptophyta; Magnoliopsida; Malvales; Malvaceae
Description: long non-coding RNA (GRAI_LNC003623)
Source: RNAcentral
AUUAUCCCACGUCUUGCCUUCAUACCAACUGUAAUCAUCCUGAAUUGCACUCAUGAUUCAAUUCUCUUAAUCAAAAAGGAAAAUAACGACAUAAUGAAAAAAAACUAAAAUCAGAAUAAUAAAUAAAAAAAUUAGAACAUUAUCUAACUCAUUCGUCUUUUGACUAAUAUUAUUCAAAAAAGUAAUUGAUUCAACAACAAUUAUCACCAUCGCAAUCCCCGAAAACAACGUCAA